This 316-nucleotide ribosomal RNA is filed under the name uncultured eukaryote. Its description in RNAcentral is "partial large subunit ribosomal RNA". It matches the Rfam family "Eukaryotic large subunit ribosomal RNA", at positions 40 to 350 of the family's 3401-position model. The record is from RNAcentral.
AUAUCAUUAAGCGGAGGAAAAGAAACUAACAAGGAUGCCCCUAGUAACGGCGAGUGAAGCGGGCGAAGCUCAAGUUGAAAAUCGGGGCCUCUUUGGGGUUUCGAAUUGUAGUCUAGAGACGCAGCGUCAGCAAUAGCCCCUGGUAUAAAUCUUUUGAAACAAGGUGUCAUAGAGGGUGAGAACCCCGUCCAUGACUCGGUGUCGGUUGCGUACGCUGCGUGUUCAAAGAGUCGGGUUGCUUGGGAUUGCAGCCCUAAGUGGGUGGUAAACUUCAUCUAAAGCUAAAUAUUGGCGAGAGACCGAUAGCGCACAAGUA